CACGUAGGCGGAUAUUUAAGUCAGGGGUGAAAUCCCGGGGCUCAACCUCGGAAUUGCCUUUGAUACUGGGUGUCUUGAGUAUGAGAGAGGUGUGUGGAACUCCGAGUGUAGAGGUGAAAUUCGUAGAUAUUCGGAAGAACACCAGUGGCGAAGGCGACUCGCUGGACAAGUAUUGACGCUGAGGUGCGAAAGCGUGGGGAGCAAACA
This 207-nucleotide ribosomal RNA is filed under the name uncultured bacterium. Its description in RNAcentral is "partial 16S ribosomal RNA". It matches the Rfam family "Bacterial small subunit ribosomal RNA", at positions 568 to 774 of the family's 1533-position model. The record is from RNAcentral.